Molecule: ribosomal RNA, 1443 nt
Filed under: Lacticaseibacillus sp.
Lineage: Bacteria; Bacillati; Bacillota; Bacilli; Lactobacillales; Lactobacillaceae
Description: bacterial SSU rRNA
Source: RNAcentral
UGCAAGUCGAACGAGUUCUCGUUGAUGAUCGGUGCUUGCACCGAGAUUCAACAUGGAACGAGUGGCGGACGGGUGAGUAACACGUGGGUAACCUGCCCUUAAGUGGGGGAUAACAUUUGGAAACAGAUGCUAAUACCGCAUAGAUCCAAGAACCGCAUGGUUCUUGGCUGAAAGAUGGCGUAAGCUAUCGCUUUUGGAUGGACCCGCGGCGUAUUAGCUAGUUGGUGAGGUAAUGGCUCACCAAGGCGAUGAUACGUAGCCGAACUGAGAGGUUGAUCGGCCACAUUGGGACUGAGACACGGCCCAAACUCCUACGGGAGGCAGCAGUAGGGAAUCUUCCACAAUGGACGCAAGUCUGAUGGAGCAACGCCGCGUGAGUGAAGAAGGCUUUCGGGUCGUAAAACUYYGUUGUUGGAGAAGAAUGGUCGGCAGAGUAACUGUUGUCGGCGUGACGGUAUCCAACCAGAAAGCCACGGCUAACUACGUGCCAGCAGCCGCGGUAAUACGUAGGUGGCAAGCGUUAUCCGGAUUUAUUGGGCGUAAAGCGAGCGCAGGCGGUUUUUUAAGUCUGAUGUGAAAGCCCUCGGCUUAACCGAGGAAGCGCAUCGGAAACUGGGAAACUUGAGUGCAGAAGAGGACAGUGGAACUCCAUGUGUAGCGGUGAAAUGCGUAGAUAUAUGGAAGAACACCAGUGGCGAAGGCGGCUGUCUGGUCUGUAACUGACGCUGAGGCUCGAAAGCAUGGGUAGCGAACAGGAUUAGAUACCCUGGUAGUCCAUGCCGUAAACGAUGAAUGCUAGGUGUUGGAGGGUUUCCGCCCUUCAGUGCCGCAGCUAACGCAUUAAGCAUUCCGCCUGGGGAGUACGACCGCAAGGUUGAAACUCAAAGGAAUUGACGGGGGCCCGCACAAGCGGUGGAGCAUGUGGUUUAAUUCGAAGCAACGCGAAGAACCUUACCAGGUCUUGACAUCUUUUGAUCACCUGAGAGAUCAGGUUUCCCCUUCGGGGGCAAAAUGACAGGUGGUGCAUGGUUGUCGUCAGCUCGUGUCGUGAGAUGUUGGGUUAAGUCCCGCAACGAGCGCAACCCUUAUGACUAGUUGCCAGCAUUUAGUUGGGCACUCUAGUAAGACUGCCGGUGACAAACCGGAGGAAGGUGGGGAUGACGUCAAAUCAUCAUGCCCCUUAUGACCUGGGCUACACACGUGCUACAAUGGAUGGUACAACGAGUUGCGAGACCGCGAGGUCAAGCUAAUCUCUUAAAGCCAUUCUCAGUUCGGACUGUAGGCUGCAACUCGCCUACACGAAGUCGGAAUCGCUAGUAAUCGCGGAUCAGCACGCCGCGGUGAAUACGUUCCCGGGCCUUGUACACACCGCCCGUCACAACAUGAGAGUUUGUAACACCCGAAGCCGGUGGCGUAACCCUUUUAGGGAGCGAGCCGUCUAAG